UACCCGCUGACGAGCGGCCGGACGGGGUGAGUAAUGCAUAGGAAUCUGCCCGAUAUGUGGGGAUAACCUGGGGAAACCCAGGCUAAUACCGCAUACGGUCCUACGGGAGAAAGGGGGCUUCAKUUCUCGCUAUUGGAUGAGCCUAUGUCGGACUUAGCUAGUUGGUGAGGUAAUGGCUCACCAAGGCAACGACUCCGUAGCUGGUCUGAGAGGAUGAUCAGCCACACUCGGGACUGAGACACGGCCCGAACCUCUACGGGAGGCACGCAGUGGGGAAUAUUGGACAAUGGGCGAAAGCCUGACUCCAGCCAUGCCGCGUGUGUGAAGAAGGCCCUCGGGUUGUAAAGCACUUUCAGCGAGGAAGAACGCCUAGUGGUUAAUACCCAUUAGGAAAGACAUCACUCGCAGAAGAAGCACCGGCUAACUCCGUGCCAGCAGCCGCGGUAAUACGGAGGGUGCAAGCGUUAAUCGGAAUUACUGGGCGUAAAGCGCGCGUAGGUGGCUUGAUAAGCCGGUUGUGAAAGCCCCGGGCUCAACCUGGGAACGGCAUCCGGAACUGUCAAGCUAGAGUGCAGGAGAGGAAGGUAGAAUUCCCGGUGUAGCGGUGAAAUNAGUAGAGAUCGGGAGGAAUACCAGUGGCGAA
Molecule: ribosomal RNA, 643 nt
Filed under: gamma proteobacterium GWS-SE-H233
Lineage: Bacteria; Pseudomonadati; Pseudomonadota; Gammaproteobacteria
Description: bacterial SSU rRNA
Rfam family: Bacterial small subunit ribosomal RNA
Source: RNAcentral